RNAcentral lists this transfer RNA (83 nucleotides) under Verrucomicrobiaceae bacterium. RNAcentral describes it as "tRNA-Leu". It matches the Rfam family "tRNA". From Rfam's summary of the family: Transfer RNA (tRNA) molecules are approximately 80 nucleotides in length. RNAcentral also lists the same sequence under 1 other name. Lineage: Bacteria; Pseudomonadati; Verrucomicrobiota; Verrucomicrobiia; Verrucomicrobiales; Verrucomicrobiaceae. The record is from RNAcentral.
GCCAGGGUGGCGAAACUGGUAGACGCGCCAGAUUUAGGAUCUGGUGUCCUUUGGACGUGCAGGUUCGAUUCCUGUCCCUGGUA